This is a long non-coding RNA of Neofelis nebulosa (Clouded leopard), 516 nucleotides long. RefSeq lists it as uncharacterized. The record is from RefSeq and is a predicted model, not a curated record. NCBI's taxonomy places the organism in Eukaryota, Metazoa, Chordata, Mammalia, Carnivora, Felidae. The transcript has 2 exons.
UUAAAUCACUUCCCCUUGCUGGGCCUUAGUUCCUUUAUCAGUAACAAUGGGAAUGAGACCACCCACUUCACCACGUUCUAGAAGCCGAUGCCUGUGCGGGGGCAGUGUCUGGGUAGGAGGCCCAGCAAGCAGUCGACAGGACCCCCUCCCGCAGCCAUUGGCCCUGCAGCCUGGCAUGAGCUGAUCAGAGGCGUAAGGACAGCACCCAGCUCCUGGGCCCCUUUCCUGACCAGACGCCUGUGGGAGGAGCCAGAUGAGGAAACAGAGGCACAUCAGGGAGAAACUGACAAGGAAGAGACGAAAGCCUACAGCAUCAGACUUGACCGUUGUCCUCCCCCCAUGUAGCCGACAGCAGCAUCCCUCUGUUCUGUGGGUUUGAGGAAAGGCCGGAGUCACACUGAAGGCCGCAUGUAUGUAAUCAGAAGGUCUAUGUGUAUAUGUGUACAUGGGGAUAUGUGCACAUCUAUCUUACAAGCGUAUACGGUAUAUGUCAUACAUAAUCUACCCAUCUGCCAA